GUGUCAGCCGCCGCGGUAAUACGUAGGGGGCAAGCGUUGUCCGGAUUUAUUGGGCGUAAAGAGCGUGUAGGCGGCCGCACAGGUCCGUUGUGAAAACUGGAGGCUUAACCUUCAGACGUCGAUGGAAACCGUGCGGCUAGAGUCCGGAAGAGGAGAAUGGAAUUCCUGGUGUAGCGGUGAAAUGCGCAGAUAUCAGGAAGAACACCCGUGGCUAAGGCGGUUCUCUAGUACGGUACUGACGCUGAGACGCGAAAGCGUGGGGAGCGAACAGGAUUAGAUACCCCCGUAGUCC
RNAcentral lists this ribosomal RNA (292 nucleotides) under uncultured bacterium. RNAcentral describes it as "partial 16S ribosomal RNA". It matches the Rfam family "Bacterial small subunit ribosomal RNA", at positions 505 to 796 of the family's 1533-position model. The record is from RNAcentral.